Long non-coding RNA from Cucumis sativus (cucumber), 991 nucleotides. RefSeq lists it as uncharacterized. The transcript has 2 exons. The record is from RefSeq and is a predicted model, not a curated record. NCBI's taxonomy places the organism in Eukaryota, Viridiplantae, Streptophyta, Magnoliopsida, Cucurbitales, Cucurbitaceae.
AAUUAAACUCGUCCUAAUUUUAGUAUUGUUUUUUUCUUUAUGUGGAAAAGAAUUUUACAGGUAGAAUUUUACACUUUAAUUAUAAUUAGAUACAUGAAAUAUGUAGAGAAAUCCAUAGUAAUAAUAAUAAAGAGGCAAUUAAUUAAAGUGUUUUUGCAACCAUAAACCAACUUAAUAUUUAUUGUGAUGAAAGAAAAAAAAUAUAAACCAAAUGAAGCUUCUCCACAAACCUCAACAACAAACUCAAAUCUCUACUCACCUUCACAAAUUAAUCCUCCAUCGCCUCCGAUUUCUGAACCAGAUCCGACAGGUUUGACCCAACUGACCCGCCGCGGGAUAUGGAUGUGCUCCGGUGGCGUCGGCAUCGGAAAGAUCCAAUGUGAGUGGUCGGAGAGCAGAGACAAUUCGAUUUAAUGCUCCGGGACUUCGUCAUCCUCGACAACGCCGUCGGUGACAUUAGCAGAUUCGCAUUCUUUUUCAGAUCGUCGAAUUCCGUCUCCACCAUUGCCGAUUUCGAGAUGCCGGUGAGGCGAUCACAUGGGUGAUCAAAAGCCGGGGAAUGAUGGUUGGAUUUGCGGCUUCCGGAGAGGAAUGAGGAGAAGCUUCAAUGGCGGAUUUUCUGUGGUGGGUGUUCUGUUCAGUUCUGAUUCCCCUUUGGGGAUUGGAACAGAAGAGUUUGGGUUUAAGGAUUUGGAAUGGAUUUUAUAAGAGAAAAAUUGGGGAGAUUUGGUAAUUUUGUGGGUUUUCAAGGGUUUCUAAACAAUUAUCGUUUCUAUUUUUAAUCUAUUAUUUGUGGCCAUUGGUUAAAACUGUUUUUGUGAAGGGAGAGAGGUCGUUAAUGGUUUAAUUUGGGGUUUAGUUUCAUUUUGUUUCUUUUGUCUUUCAUUGAUUUGAUUAAAUUGUAAAUUUAGUAAUGGAACAAAGCUAAGUGUGACUAUUCCGAUAGAAUGGUUGCAUUGUUUCGUAAAUGUACAUGUUUCUUCAAAAUUUA